RNAcentral lists this ribosomal RNA (864 nucleotides) under uncultured Campylobacterota bacterium. RNAcentral's name for it is "bacterial SSU rRNA". It matches the Rfam family "Bacterial small subunit ribosomal RNA", at positions 639 to 1500 of the family's 1533-position model. Lineage: Bacteria; Pseudomonadati; Campylobacterota. The record is from RNAcentral.
ACCUAGAGUAUGGGAGGGGGAGAUGGAAUUAGUGGUGUAGGGGUAAAAUCCGUAGAUAUCACUAGGAAUACCUAAAGCGAAGGCGAUCUCCUGGAACAUUACUGACGCUAAGGUGUGAAAGCGUGGGGAGCAAACGGGAUUAGAUACCCCGGUAGUCCACGCCCUAAACGAUGUUCACUAGUCGUCGGGAUGCUAGUCAUCUCGGUGAUGCACUUAACAGAUUAAGUGAACCGCCUGGGGAGUACGGUCGCAAGAUUAAAACUCAAAGGAAUAGACGGGGACCCGCACAAGUGGUGGAGCAUGUGGUUUAAUUCGAAGAUACGCGAAGAACCUUACCUAGCCUUGACAUUGAUUGAAUUUUCCAGAGAUGGAGAAGUGCCUUUCGGGGAACAUGAAAACAGGUGCUGCACGGCUGUCGUCAGCUCGUGUCGUGAGAUGUUGGGUUAAGUCCCGCAACGAGCGCAACCCUCGUCCUUAGUUGCCAGCAGGUUAAGCUGGGCACUUUAAGGAGACUGCCUUCGCAAGAAGGAGGAAGGUGAGGACGACGUCAAGUCAUCAUGGCCCUUAUGGCUAGGGCUACACACGUGCUACAAUGGGGCGUACAGAGAGUUGCGAUACCGCGAGGUGGAGCCAAUCUCAUAAAGCGUCUCUCAGUUCGGAUAGCAGUCUGCAACUCGACUGCUUGAAGCUGGAAUCACUAGUAAUCGUAGAUCAGCAAUGCUACGGUGAAUACGUUCCCGGGUCUUGUACUCACCGCCCGUCACACCAUGGGAGUUGAUUUCACCCGAAAUUGGGAAGCUAACCUUCGGGAGGCUACCACUUACGGUGGAAUUAGCGACUGGGGUGAAGUCGUAACAAGGUAAC